Molecule: RNA transcript, 2998 nt
Organism: Juglans regia (Persian walnut)
Lineage: Eukaryota; Viridiplantae; Streptophyta; Magnoliopsida; Fagales; Juglandaceae
Gene name: protein FAR-RED IMPAIRED RESPONSE 1-like
Exons: 7
Source: RefSeq, a predicted model, not a curated record
ACCCCUGCUCCAUCGCGUCCCGCGUCUCCUUCCGCAACCCAGCACCUCCCGGCGACGCCGUCUCUCUCGUUAGUGCCAACGAGCGGCACUCCUCCGUGUGCCCAGCGCCUCCACUGUCCCGCGAGGUCGUUUGAACAAGAAAAAGAAUAUUUGAAUCCCGCGAAACCCCCUUCCUCGCCACGAACCCGCGUCCGUCGGCUUCCUCUUGCCAGCACCACCUCGCGACGGCUUCCUCUUCCCAGCACCACCUCGAGACGCUCGUACGUCUGCCCAGCGCCGUCGCUCCCCGCGAGCUGAUCGAACGGACCAAAAACCAACGACGGGACCGAGUGCUCUGUUUCGCCAAUGGUUUGAUAGACUGGAUAGAAAUUAUCCAAAGACAUUCUUAGCCUUAUUGUGAUGGGGGAAAACGAAGAUGGAAUGCAUCCUUUUUAUAUAAAUAUGCCCUACAAUUCCCCGAGUACUCUGGUAGACUAUAGCCCAUUUUCUGAUUCAUUUGAGCAGAUGCCACCUUAUAUGUCCUACCCUCCGCCGAGUAAUCCAAAUGACUUGAGGCAAGAAGUGCCCCCGACAUCAACUUUGCCAACCUUCCAAGAAUUUGAACAAAAUCUUAGAAGUACAUCACGGAUGACUGCUGAAAGUUGUCUUGAUGCCGACGAAAUGGUCUUCGACAUAAAUGAAGAUUUAGAAGGUACCACUGUUGUCGAGGAUGAUGAGGUACGAGUUGAAGCACCAAGAUCUGGGAUGGAAUUUGAUAGUAUGAAAGAUCUGACAGCCUACUAUAAGCAGUAUGCGAAGCAAGAGGGUUUUGGUGUACGGAUACAAAGGACUAGGAAAGAUGAUGAAGGGCGGCCUGUGUAUGUGACUGUUGGUUGUGCCCGUGGAGGAAAGUACAAUCCUACGAACAAUAAUAUCUCGAAGCCACGACCAACAACUAGAACGGAUUGUAAAGUGAGAGUAAAUGCGACAUUGAGCAAGAAUGAUAAAUGGGUACUCACCACUGUGGAAAAUGUGCACAACCACAUAACUGUGAGCCCCAAGAAGACAAGAUUCUUGCGAUCUCACAAACAUCUCGAUGAAUACAGUCAAAGGAUCCUUGACCUGAAUGAUCGAGCCGAUAUACGAAUGAACAAGAAUUUUUAUUCUCUUGUCGUUGAUGCGGGGGGUUUUGAGAAUCUUCAGUUUCAAGAGAAAGAUUGUCGGAAUUUCAUUGAUAAGGCUCGACAUUUAAGGUUGGGUAAAGGUGGUGGCGAAGCACUUAAUCAGUAUUUCCGAAGAAUGAGAGAUCGAAAUGAUGGGUUUGUUUCUAGCAUGGACUUGGAUGAUGAGGGAAGGUUACGGAAUGUAUUUUGGGCUGAUGCUCGGAGUCGAGCGGCGUAUGAGUAUUUUGGAGACGUAGUUACAUUUGAUACAACGUACCUAACAAAUAGGUACGGGAUGCCUUUUGCUCCAUUCGUUGGUGUUAAUCAUCAUGGUCAGUCCAUAUUAUUAGGAGCGGGAUUGCUUUCAAACGAGGACACUGAAACUUUUAUGUGGUUGUUCCGAAUGUGGUUGGAUUGUAUGAAUGGUCGGGCGCCCAAAGCCAUGAUAACUGACCAAGAUCGGGCAAUGAAGAGUGCUAUUGCCAUUGUAUUCCCUGAAACUUGUCACAGAUAUUGUUUAUGGCAUAUAAUGCGCAAACUUCCAGAGAAGUUAGGAUCUCAUGCGCAAUUCAAUGCGGGGUUGAAGACUGACCUUCAGACUGCAUUAUAUGACUCACAUACCAGCGGUGAAUUUGAAGAGAGCUGGGGUCAAGUAAUUUCAAAGUAUGAUCUACACGGCAAUAAAUGGCUUCAAUCCUUAUAUGAGGAAAGAUCUUUUUGGGUUCCAGCUUACUUGAAAAGUGUAUUCUGGGCUGGAAUGAGCACAACACAAAGGUCGGAAAGCAUGAAUGCAUUUUUUGAUGGGUAUGUCCAUUCCGGUACCAUAUUGAAGGAAUUUGUCGACCAAUUUGAUAAUGCUCUUAGAAAGAAGGUAGAGGUAGAGACAAUGGCUGAUUUCAAUUCUAGCAACCAAACUAGUCCCUGCGUGUCCCAUCUUAAUAUUGAGAAGCAAUUUCAAAGGUUAUAUACAAAUACAAAGUUCAAAGAGGUCCAAAGAGAGGUGCUGGGCCUAAUGUGUUGUAAUUGUGAGUUGGUAAGCACAUAAGGGUGCAUUUCUCAGUACCAAGUGUUGGAUGAAAUAUCUACUGAUGACCACAUCAAAACACUCAAUUACUGUGUUUACUACAACGAAGAGGAGGUGGAGGUCAAAUGCACGUGUGCAUUGUUUCAGAUGAGGGGGAUUCUGUGUAGGCAUGUACUUAGAGUUUGCCAGUUGAAAAAGAUUAAUGUGCUGCCAGAUGUAUAUGUGUUGGAUCGUUGGAGAAAGGACUUGAAGAGGACAUACACAUUAGUCAGAAGUAGUUACGAUGACCAGCGGGAUAGAGCAGAUGCACGGAAUUAUGAGCGGGUGCUUAAAAGAUGUUCGAAAUUAGCAACCAAAAUUUCCUCAGAUAAUGAAAAAAUCAGUGCUUUCUUGCGUGUUAUUGAUGAGUUUGAGACAAAAUGUGAAGGUUCCUCUUUACAUGAGUCAGCAUAUGAACAAAUUAAGGCCAAAACAAAUGUCGUCUUGGAUAAGGGUAAGAAGAUAUUAAGCCCCAAUGUGGAUCGAGGGAAAGGGAGACCCCCAAGUAAGAGGAAGGUUCCACCAGUUGAAAAGUUGCCAACAAAGAGAAAGAAACCGACUUGCAAGAAAAUCUUGGUAGAUGAAACACAAUUGGGUGAGACACCGGGAACACAAACCAGCAUUCUUACACAAUCAACUCCAGGGGGAAAUGAGAUGUGUCACCAUCUCGAUGCACACUUGUAAUCCCAUGGUGAUGAGAAGCAACAUUUUUUGAAGCUCUUGGAGAUGAUCUGCCACCGUGAUUGAGUUGCUGUUUUUGUGUCUUUUUUGUGUGGUUGAGUGUAUUUUGUUC